GUGGGGAAUUUUGGACAAUGGGCGCAAGCCUGAUCCAGCCAUUCCGCGUGCAGGAUGAAGGCCUUCGGGUUGUAAACUGCUUUUGUACGGAACGAAAAGCCUCUGGUUAAUACCCGGGGGUCAUGACGGUACCGUAAGAAUAAGCACCGGCUAACUACGUGCCAGCAGCCGCGGUAAUACGUAGGGUGCGAGCGUUAAUCGGAAUUACUGGGCGUAAAGCGUGCGCAGGCGGUGAUGUAAGACAGUUGUGAAAUCCCCGGGCUCAACCUGGGAACUGCAUCUGUGACUGCAUUGCUGGAGUGCGGCAGAGGGGGAUGGAAUUCCGCGUGUAGCAGUGAAAUGCGUAGAUAUGCGGAGGAACACCGAUGGCGAAGGCAAUCCCCUGGGCCUGCACUGACGCUCAUGCACGAAAGCGUGGGGAGCAAACAGGAUUAGAAACCCGGGUAGUCC
This 450-nucleotide ribosomal RNA is filed under the name uncultured bacterium. Its description in RNAcentral is "partial 16S ribosomal RNA". It matches the Rfam family "Bacterial small subunit ribosomal RNA", at positions 354 to 796 of the family's 1533-position model. The record is from RNAcentral.